Unclassified non-coding RNA from Cercocebus atys (sooty mangabey), 165 nucleotides. The record is from Ensembl. Lineage: Eukaryota; Metazoa; Chordata; Mammalia; Primates; Cercopithecidae.
UGGCAGCCCUGCAGCCUCUUCUGUAUACCCACAGCACAGAUGCACCGCAGGUAGUGACAGUGCCAAAAUCCCCACACUGCCCCUGCUACAUGCCUCGCCCUGACUUGGAGAGGCCACCUCUAGAGGGGAGGGAAGAGUUUGAAUCCAUGCCUUCUUUUUGAAGAU